GCGGGUGUAGCUCAGCGGUAGAGCACCUCGUUGCCAACGAGGACGUCGAGGGUUCAAGUCCCUCCACCCGCUCCA
This 75-nucleotide transfer RNA is filed under the name Candidatus Omnitrophota bacterium. RNAcentral's name for it is "tRNA-Gly". It matches the Rfam family "tRNA". From Rfam's summary of the family: Transfer RNA (tRNA) molecules are approximately 80 nucleotides in length. Their secondary structure includes four short double-helical elements and three loops (D, anti-codon, and T loops). Further hydrogen bonds mediate the characteristic L-shaped molecular structure. tRNAs have two regions of fundamental functional importance: the anti-codon, which is responsible for specific mRNA codon recognition, and the 3' end, to which the tRNAs corresponding amino acid is attached (by aminoacyl-tRNA synthetases). tRNAs cope with the degeneracy of the genetic code in two manners: having more than one tRNA (with a specific anti-codon) for a particular amino acid; and 'wobble' base-pairing, i.e. permitting non-standard base-pairing at the 3rd anti-codon position. Lineage: Bacteria; Pseudomonadati; Candidatus Omnitrophota. The record is from RNAcentral.